UACGGAGGGUGCAAGCGUUAUCCGGAUUCACUGGGUUUAAAGGGUGCGUAGGCGGGCAGGUAUGUCAGUGGUGAAAUCUCCAAGCUUAACUUGGAAACUGCCGUUGAUACUAUCUGUCUUGAAUACUGUGGAGGUGAGCGGAAUAUGUCAUGUAGCGGUGAAAUGCUUAGAUAUGACAUAGAACACCAAUUGCGAAGGCAGCUCACUACACAGCCAUUGACGCUGAGGCACGAAAGCGUGGGGAUCAAACAGG
RNAcentral lists this ribosomal RNA (253 nucleotides) under uncultured bacterium. RNAcentral's name for it is "partial 16S ribosomal RNA". It matches the Rfam family "Bacterial small subunit ribosomal RNA", at positions 524 to 776 of the family's 1533-position model. The record is from RNAcentral.